CAUGCCCCUUAUACGCUGGGCUACACACGUGCUACAAUGGGUAGAACAGAGAGUCGCAAAGCUGUGAAGUGGAGCUAAUCUCAGAAAACUAUUCUUAGUUCGGAUUGUACUCUGCAACUCGAGUACAUGAGGUUGGAAUCGCUAGUAAUCGCGAAUCAGCAAUGUCGCGGUGAAUACGUUCUCGGGUCUUGUACACACCGCCCGUCACACCACGAGAGUUGGUUGCACCUGAAGUAGCAGGCCUAACCGUAAGGAGGGAUGCUCCGAGGGUGUGAUUAGCGAUUGGGGUGAAGUCGUAACAAGGUAUCCGUACGGGAACGUGCGGAUGGAUCACCUCCUUUCUAAGGAGUAUAAGUCUUUCUCUAUUCUAUUGGUAAUGUUCUUUACAUUACUUCUGAACAUUGGAAACUAUAUAGUAGAACAAACAAGAAAAAAAUUAACUCUAACAAUUUCUUAGAGUUAGCUGUCAAAAAAUAGGUUAAAAUAAUUAAGGGCACACAAAGGAUGCCUAGGUAGUAAGAGCCGAUGAAGG
RNAcentral lists this small RNA (532 nucleotides) under uncultured Fusobacterium sp. RNAcentral describes it as "bacterial SSU rRNA". The stretch from base 1 to 341 matches the Rfam family "Bacterial small subunit ribosomal RNA", at positions 1194 to 1533 of the family's 1533-position model. The record is from RNAcentral. Lineage: Bacteria; Fusobacteriati; Fusobacteriota; Fusobacteriia; Fusobacteriales; Fusobacteriaceae.